UACGGGGGGGGCAAGCGUUGUUCGGAAUUACUGGGCGUAAAGGGUUUGUAGGUGGCUUGUUAAGUCAGACGUGAAAUCCCUCAGCUUAACUGGGGAACUGCGUCUGAUACUGGCGAGCUUGAGUGCAGGAGAGGAACGCGGAAUCCCAGGUGUAGCGGUGAAAUGCGUAGAUAUCUGGAGGAACACCGGUGGCGAAGGCGGCGUUCUGGACUGCAACUGACACUGAGAAACGAAAGCCAGGGUAGCAAACGGG
This 253-nucleotide ribosomal RNA is filed under the name uncultured bacterium. RNAcentral's name for it is "partial 16S ribosomal RNA". It matches the Rfam family "Bacterial small subunit ribosomal RNA", at positions 524 to 776 of the family's 1533-position model. The record is from RNAcentral.